GAAAUGCGAUAAGUAGUGUGAAUUGCAGAAUUCAGUGAAUCAUCGAAUCUUUGAACGCACAUUGCGCCCUUUGGUAUUCCAAAGGGCAUGCCUGUUCGAGCGUCAUUUGUACCCUCAAGCUUUGCUUGGUGUUGUGCGUCUUGUCUCCAGUUCGCUGGAGACUCGCCUUAAAGUAAUUGGCAGCCGGCCUACUGGUUUCGGAGCGCAGCACAAGUCGCGCUCUCUUCCAGCCAAGGUCAGCAUCCACAAAGCCUUUUUUCAACUUUUGACCUCGGAUCAGGUAGGGAUACCCGCUGAACUUAAGC
RNAcentral lists this unclassified non-coding RNA (305 nucleotides) under plant metagenome. Its description in RNAcentral is "partial contains 5.8S ribosomal RNA, internal transcribed spacer 2, and large subunit ribosomal RNA". The stretch from base 1 to 105 matches the Rfam family "5.8S ribosomal RNA", at positions 50 to 154 of the family's 154-position model. The record is from RNAcentral.